GCGCACGGUGGAUGCCUUGGCACUAGGAGCCGAAGAAGGACGUGACAAACGACGAUAUGCCUUGGGUAGCUGUAAGUAAGCGAUGAUCCAGGGAUUUCCGAAUGGGGGAACCCAACAGGUACUACCUGUUACCCGCAUCUGUUAAGGAUGUGAGGAGGAAGACGCAGUGAACUGAAACAUCUAAGUAGCUGCAGGAAGAGAAAGCAAAAGCGAUUGCCUUAGUAGCGGCGAGCGAAACGGCAGGAGGGCAAACCGAAGAGUUUACUCUUCGGGGUUGUAGGACUGCAAUGUGGACUCAAAGAUUAUAGAAGAAUGAUUUGGGAAGAUCAGCCAAAGAGAGUAAUAGCCUCGUAUUUAAAAUAGUCUUUGUACCUAGCAGUAUCCUGAGUACGGCGGGACACGUGAAAUCCCGUCGGAAUCUGGGAGGACCAUCUCCCAACCCUAAAUACUCCCUAGUGACCGAUAGUGAACCAGUACCGUGAGGGAAAGGUGAAAAGCACCCCGGGAGGGGAGUGAAAUAGAACCUGAAACCGUGUGCCUACAACAAGUUCGAGCCCGUUAAUGGGUGAGAGCGUGCCUUUUGUAGAAUGAACCGGCGAGUUACGUUAUGAUGCGAGGUUAAGUUGAAGAGACGGAGCCGUAGGGAAACCGAGUCUGAAUAGGGCGCCAUAGUAUCAUGACGUAGACCCGAAACCAUGUGACCUACCCAUGAGCAGGUUGAAGGUGCGGUAAGACGCACUGGAGGACCGAACCAGGGCACGUUAAAAAGUGCUUGGAUGACUUGUGGGUAGCGGAGAAAUUCCAAACGAACUUGGAGAUAGCUGGUUCUCUCCGAAAUAGCUUUAGGGCUAGCGUCGACAUUAAGAUUCUUGGAGGUAGAGCACUGUUUGGGUGAGGGGUCCAUCCCGGAUUACCAAUCUCAGAUAAACUCCGAAUGCCAAUGAAUUAUGGUCGGCAGUCAGACUGCGAGUGCUAAGAUCCGUAGUCGAAAGGGAAACAGCCCAGACCACCAGCUAAGGUCCCAAAAUAAUUGUUAAGUGGAAAAGGAUGUGGGGUUGCACAGACAACUAGGAUGUUAGCUUAGAAGCAGCUAUUCAUUCAAAGAGUGCGUAAUAGCUCACUAGUCGAGUGACCCUGCGCCGAAAAUGUACCGGGGCUAAAACAAUUUACCGAAGCUGUGGAUACCUUUAUAGGUAUGGUAGGAGAGCGUUCUAUGUGUGAAGAAGGUGUACCGUGAGGAGUGCUGGAACGCAUAGAAGUGAGAAUGCCGGUAUGAGUAGCGAAAGACAGGUGAGAAUCCUGUCCACCGUAAGACUAAGGUUUCCAGGGGAAGGCUCGUCCGCCCUGGGUUAGUCGGGACCUAAGGAGAGACCGAAAGGUGUAUCCGAUGGACAACAGGUUGAUAUUCCUGUACUAGAGUAUGUAGUGAUGGAGGGACGCAGUAGGCUAACUAAAGCAGACGAUUGGAAGUGUCUGUCUAAGCAGUGAGGUGUGAACUGAGUUAAAUGCUUAGUUCUAUAACAUUGAGCUGUGAUGGGGAGCGAAGUUUAGUAGCGAAGUUAGUGACGUCACACUGCCAAGAAAAGCUUCUAGCGUUUAAACAUACUCUACCCGUACCGCAAACCGACACAGGUAGUCGAGGCGAGUAGCCUCAGGUGAGCGAGAGAACUCUCGUUAAGGAACUCGGCAAAAUGACCCCGUAACUUCGGGAGAAGGGGUGCUCUUUAGGGUUCACGCCCAGAAGAGCCGCAGUGAAUAGGCCCAAGCGACUGUUUAUCAAAAACACAGGUCUCUGCUAAACCGUAAGGUGAUGUAUAGGGGCUGACGCCUGCCCGGUGCUGGAAGGUUAAGAGGAGUGGUUAGCUUCUGCGAAGCUACGAAUCGAAGCCCCAGUAAACGGCGGCCGUAACGAUAACGGUCCUAAGGUAGCGAAAUUCCUUGUCGGGUAAGUUCCGACCUGCACGAAUGGCGUAACGACUUCCCCACUGUCUCCAGCACACACUCAGUGAAAUUGAAUUCCCCGUGAAGAUGCGGGGUUCCUGCGGUUAGACGGAAAGACCCCGUGCACCUUUACUGCAGCUUCAGAGUGGCAUUAGGAAAGAA
Molecule: ribosomal RNA, 2103 nt
Filed under: Lateolabrax maculatus (spotted sea bass)
Lineage: Eukaryota; Metazoa; Chordata; Actinopteri; Acropomatiformes; Lateolabracidae
Description: bacterial LSU rRNA
Rfam family: Bacterial large subunit ribosomal RNA
Source: RNAcentral